CCUACGGGAGGCAGCAGUAAGGAAUAUUGGUCAAUGGACGAAAGUCUGAACCAGCCAUGCCGCGUGAAGGAUUAAGGCCCUCUGGGUUGUAAACUUCUUUUAUCUGGGACGAAAAAAGGGUAUUCUUACUCACUUGACGGUACCAGAGGAAUAAGCACCGGCUAACUCCGUGCCAGCAGCCGCGGUAAUACGGAGGGUGCAAGCGUUAUCCGGAUUUACUGGGUUUAAAGGGUGCGUAGGUGGGCUUGUAAGUCAGUGGUGAAAUCUCCGGGCUUAACCCGGAAACUGCCAUUGAUACUAUAGGUCUUGAAUUAUCUGGAGGUAAGCGGAAUAUGUCAUGUAGCGGUGAAAUGCUUAGAUAUGACAUAGAACACCAAUUGCGAAGGCAGCUUACUACGGAUAUAUUGACACUGAGGCACGAAAGCGUGGGGAUCAAACAGGAUUAGAUACCCUGGUAGUCCACGCCCUAAACGAUGGAUACUCGACAUCAGCGAUACACUGUUGGUGUCUGAGCGAAAAGCAUUAAGUAUCCCACCUGGAAGUACGAUCGCAAGAUUGAAACUCAAAAUGAGUAGAGNGUGAGAGAGCGAGACGACACGAGGAGGAGG
RNAcentral lists this ribosomal RNA (608 nucleotides) under uncultured bacterium. Its description in RNAcentral is "bacterial SSU rRNA". It matches the Rfam family "Bacterial small subunit ribosomal RNA", at positions 338 to 950 of the family's 1533-position model. The record is from RNAcentral.